GCCCUCGUAGUUCAAUGGAUAGAACAGAACUCUUCUAAGGUUUUGAUGUAGGUUCGAUUCCUACCGAGGGCACCA
RNAcentral lists this transfer RNA (75 nucleotides) under bacterium. Its description in RNAcentral is "tRNA-Arg". It matches the Rfam family "tRNA". Rfam says of the family: Transfer RNA (tRNA) molecules are approximately 80 nucleotides in length. Their secondary structure includes four short double-helical elements and three loops (D, anti-codon, and T loops). The record is from RNAcentral.